UUUGCCUUUAACCUCCUUCAG
RNAcentral lists this non-coding RNA (21 nucleotides) under Caenorhabditis elegans. The record is from RNAcentral. Lineage: Eukaryota; Metazoa; Nematoda; Chromadorea; Rhabditida; Rhabditidae.